GACGAACGCUGGCGGCGUGCUUAACACAUGCAAGUCGAGCGGUAAGGCCCUUUCGGGGGUACACGAGCGGCGAACGGGUGAGUAACACGUGGGUGACCUGCCCUCAGCUCUGGGAUAAAGCCUGGGAAACCGGGUCUAAUACUGGAUAUGACUCCAUGACGCAUGUUGUGGGGUGGAAAGCCUUGUGCGGCUGAGGAUGGGCCCGCGGCCUAUCAGCUUGUUGGUGGGGUGAUGGCCUACCAAGACGACGACGGGUAGCCGGCCUGAGAGGGCGACCGGCCACACUGGGACUGAGACACGGCCCAGACUCCUACGGGAGGCAGCAGUGGGGAAUCUUGCGCAAUGGGCGAAAGCCUGACGCAGCGACGCCGCGUGAGGGAUGACGGCCUCGG
RNAcentral lists this ribosomal RNA (392 nucleotides) under uncultured bacterium. Its description in RNAcentral is "bacterial SSU rRNA". It matches the Rfam family "Bacterial small subunit ribosomal RNA", at positions 28 to 420 of the family's 1533-position model. The record is from RNAcentral.